Molecule: unclassified non-coding RNA, 2015 nt
Filed under: Hevea brasiliensis (rubber tree)
Lineage: Eukaryota; Viridiplantae; Streptophyta; Magnoliopsida; Malpighiales; Euphorbiaceae
Source: RNAcentral
AUUUCUCGCUGUUUCCUCCACGCCUUCGUCUUUCACUUCACUUCACUCCCUUCCCUUUGGUUCCGUCCACCUGAAAAGGAAAGGGCAGUAUGCGAAGAUGAAGCAAAUGAUAUGGCCGACUCGAUCAGAUGCAUCUCGAUUCAAAUCUCUUCCUUCACCCAACAUCAAACCCAUAAAAGAAAGCCAAUCCCCGGCUUCCCAUUCAUCUACAAUCCAUUCUAGAUCAACAAAAUUAUCGUCUUCCUCCAACGCUGGCGAUUUUUCCACGCUUCCCUUCGAUAUUUUAACCAAAAUCGCCGCCUCCUUCACCUUGACUAACAUCCAAGCGGCGUCUCUGGUAUGCCGGUCGUGGAGGGAUGCGCUUCGGCCUCUCAGAGAGGCCAUGAUGUUUCUAAGAUGGGGUAAGCGGUUCAAGCACGGCGGAGGCGGCGUGCGUCCUAAUUUGGAGAAGGCUCUUGACUCGUUUUUGAAAGGCGCGGCUCGUGGCUCUACACUGGCCAUGGUUGAUGCUGGGCUUGUUUACUGGGAAAUGGGUCAGAAGGAGAAGGCGAUUUCCUUGUAUCGCAAAGCCGCGGAGCUUGGGGAUCCUGCAGGGCAAUGUAAUUUGGGAAUUUCUUAUUUGAAAGCCAAACCCCCAAAACAGAAGGAAGCCAUUAAUUGGUUGUCAGAAGCAUCCAUUGCUGGGCAUGUUCGUGCUCAAUACCAACUUGCACGUUGUCUACAACAAGGUCGUGGGGUGGAUCAUAAUCUACAAGAAUCCGCUAAAUGGUAUCUACAAGCGGCUGCUGGUGGGUAUGUACGUGCAAUGUACAAUGUGGCGCUUUGUUACUCAGUUGGGGAAGGUUUGCCCCAAAAUCGUCGACAAGCAAGGAAAUGGAUGAAACGGGCUGCUGAUCGUGGCCACAGUAAAGCACAAUUUGAGCAUGGACUUGGUCUCUUCUCUGAAGGAGAGAUGGUGAAAGCUGUAGUUUACCUGGAACUUGCUACUCGUUCUGGUGAAACAGCAGCUGCUCAUGUAAAGAAUGUAAUUCUCCAGCAACUGUCAGCAGCUUCGCGUGAUCGUGUUAUGCUUCUUGCUGACAACUGGCGUGCUUUGCCUUCAUCUCACUGAGUCAUUUCAAAUCAUAGGUUGUCUUGCGGUAGCUUGCCUGCUAGACCUUUAAGUUUUUAAGAAUCCAUGGUCCAAGUAAUUCUUAAACACUUGAAAUUUUUUAUCAUUUGACAGUAAUCCUGUGGAAACAUGGUCUUCUCUCACUAUCUGCCAUGACCUUACCAGAUUUUUUGGUCGGCUAAGAAUUAUCAUUAUUUGCCAUGACCUGUGGCCACAAAUUUCAGCAUCUUUACACUUUUUAUUGGUGCACAACCUUUCCUUACCUCUGUUGCUUUGUCUGCCUAAGAAACAAAUGGCUUUGAUCAAUCGCUGAGAGAACAACUGCACUGUGGUUUAGUGUUGCAGUUUCUGGUUGCACUUGUUCAAGGCUACAGUGACAGUGCCGAAUGUUUUAGCUGAUAGUUCGAUUUGACUUGAUGGUUCCAUUUAUGGAGUACAGCAGGUGAUCUGUGAUAAUGUUAGUUAAUUUCUGUGUUUUAUACUAUUAAGUAAUGGGUGGAAGGGUUAUGCAUACAUUGUUUGAUCGAUUGAUCAUUAGUUUUAGUGGGCAUGACAACUUAGUAGGAAGACUAGUUGAUGCAAGUGAAUCACAACUCUCAUGUAAUACAAAAAUACUGUACAGGUGGAUGAAUCUUUCUCUCUCAAAAUGCUGGCUUUUUUUUGUGUCGUGGCCGAUUUUUGAUAAAAACAAUGAAAUUCAAACUUGUUCAGCAGUGAGACAUAGAUGACCUUUCCUAAUGACCAACGAAUGUAUUAUACUGGCUGUGGCAAAUAGCCUACUGUAUGGUAUACUGGACUUCGGUAAAUGAUAAAAUGGAUCAACUAGGAAAGCAAAAUUGUAAAACAUGAGGCGCAGUUGAAUUUACUAGAAUAUAGAAAAUGUUUUCUUCAAGAUUGCAACUUG